This 468-nucleotide ribosomal RNA is filed under the name uncultured bacterium. RNAcentral describes it as "partial 16S ribosomal RNA". It matches the Rfam family "Bacterial small subunit ribosomal RNA", at positions 28 to 507 of the family's 1533-position model. The record is from RNAcentral.
GACGAACGCUGGCGGCGUGCUUAACACAUGCAAGUCGAACGGAAAGGCCCUGCUUUUGUGGGGUGCUCGAGUGGCGAACUGGUGAGUAACACGUGAGUAACCUGCCCUUGACUUUGGGAUAACUUCAUGAAACUUGGGCUAAUACCGGAUAGGAGCUCCUGCUGCAUGGUGGGGGUUGGAAAGUUUCGGCGGUUGGGGAUGGACUCGCGGCUUAUCAGCUUGUUGGUUGGGUGGUGGAUUACCAAGGCUUUGACGGGUAGCCGGCCUGAGAGGGUGACCGGCCACAUUGGGACUGAGAUACGGCACAGCCUCCUACGGGAGGCAGCAGAGGGGAAUAGUGCACAGUGGGCGGAAGCAUGAUGCAGCAACGCCGCGUGCGGGAUGACGGCAUUCGGGUUGUAAACCGCUUUCGCCUGUGACGAAGCGUGAGUGACGGUAAUGGGUAAAGAAGCACCGGCUAACUACGUG